This 967-nucleotide ribosomal RNA is filed under the name uncultured marine bacterium. RNAcentral describes it as "bacterial SSU rRNA". It matches the Rfam family "Bacterial small subunit ribosomal RNA", at positions 55 to 1066 of the family's 1533-position model. The record is from RNAcentral.
AUGCAAGUCGAACGAAGUAGCAAUACUUAGUGGCAGACGGGUGAGUAACAUGUAGGUAUCUGCCCUUUGGCCCGGAAUAACACGAGGAAACUUGUGCUAAUACCGGAUAAGUCUUUACGGAGAAAGCUUUACGCACCAUUGGAUGAGCCUGCACUUGAUUAGUUUGUUGGUGGGGUAAUGGCCUACCAAGACUUUGAUCAAUAGCUGAUUUGAGAGGAUGAUCAGCCACAUUGGGACUGAGACACGGCCCAAACUCCUACGGGAGGCAGCAGUGGGGAAUCUUGCACAAUGGAGGAAACUCUGAUGCAGCGAUGCCGCGUGAGUGAAGAAGGCCCUUGGGUUGUAAAGCUCUUUCGUCGGGGAAGAAAAUGACUGUACCCGAAUAAGAAGGUCCGGCUAACUUCGUGCCAGCAGCCGCGGUAAUACGAAGGGACCUAGCGUAGUUCGGAAUUACUGGGCUUAAAGAGUUCGUAGGUGGUUGAAAAAGUUGGUGGUGAAAUCCCAGAGCUUAACUCUGGAACUGCCAUCAAAACUUUUCAGCUAGAGUAUGAUAGAGGAAAGCAGAAUUUCUAGUGUAGAGGUGAAAUUCGUAGAUAUUAGAAAGGAUACCAAUUGCGAAGGCAGCUUUCUGGAUCAUUACUGACACUGAGGAACGAAAGCAUGGGUAGCGAAGAGGAUUAGAUACCCUCGUAGUCCAUGCCGUAAACGAUGUGUGUUAGACGUUGGAAAUUUAUUUUCAGUGUCGCAGCGAAAGCGAUAAACACACCGCCUGGGGAGUACGACCGCAAGGUUAAAACUCAAAUGAAUUGACGGGGACCCGCACAAGUAGUGGAGCAUGUGGUUUAAUUCGAAGAUACGCGCAGAACCUUACCAACACUUGACAUGUUCGUCGCGACUUUAAGAGAUUAAAGUUUUCGGUUCGGCCGGACGAAACACAGGUGCUGCAUGGCUGUCGUCAGCUCGUGUC